This 299-nucleotide ribosomal RNA is filed under the name uncultured bacterium. RNAcentral describes it as "partial 16S ribosomal RNA". It matches the Rfam family "Bacterial small subunit ribosomal RNA", at positions 28 to 324 of the family's 1533-position model. The record is from RNAcentral.
GACGAACGCUGGCGGCGUGCUUAACACAUGCAAGUCGAACGGAAAGGCCCUGCUUUUGUGGGGUGCUCGAGUGGCGAACGGGUGAGUAACACGUGAGUAACCUGCCCUUGACUUUGGGAUAACUUCAGGAGACUGGGGCUAAUACCGGAUAGGAGCUCCUGCUGCAUGGUGGGGGUUGGAAAGUUUCGGCGGUUGGGGAUGGACUCGCGGCUUAUCAGCUUGUUGGUGGGGUAGUGGCUUACCAAGGCGUUUGACGGGUAGCCGGCCUGAGAGGGUGACCGGCCACAUUGGGACUGAGA